RNAcentral lists this long non-coding RNA (823 nucleotides) under Elaeis guineensis (African oil palm). RNAcentral describes it as "long non-coding RNA (EGUI_LNC008772)". The record is from RNAcentral. Lineage: Eukaryota; Viridiplantae; Streptophyta; Magnoliopsida; Arecales; Arecaceae.
CACAGUCUGAAGCAACAUCAAAUGUAUGGAAGAAAACACAAAAUGAUUAUAUAUAUCCAUCACAUUUUCAAACUGACUUAUAUUAUUUCCAGUCAAAAAAACAUUUUACACAUGUAUAUUUUCAAGGAAUAGGAUCCCAAAGAUACUUUGGCAUGAUGAUGCAUAUCAAUUCUUGUCAGAGUUAACAUAUAACACAACAGGUAUGACAAGUGGGGCAUGCUCGCUGAGUGUGUAUGAUAUCCUAGUACAAUUCAAAGGAGUAGGCAUCCAUAAGCCACUGGAGCCCAGAAAACCUAGAGAUGGCCAGUUAGCACCAGCCUACCAAGGAAAACUUUUAAACAAGCUUCUGGAAACAGAAUGGUAACGGCAACUUUGGUCACAUUAAGGCAGCAUGAAAAGUUUCUCAAUGCAACACAUGGACACUGAAAGGGAGGCAAUGCAUGUUGGCAACAAGAAAAUCUGGAUAGCCAUGAAAAGGAAAAAGUUUUUCUUUGAGUAAAAGUGAACAGCGAGUAGAAACAAAUCUGGCAAUUGUACACUGCAAGAAACAUUGAUGUGCAUAUAGAAAGAAGAAAAAGGAAAUUAUUUUAACAGAACUGGUUGAUAAUGAAGAGUGCCUUUUGUACUGACAAGGUCUAUUGCAUUUUUGUAUUAUAUAAAUCAAAUUAGUCUAGUGAUCCAUAUAUUGCUUCAUAUUUUCAUCUCAACGUUCAGAAACUCGAUUUUGGCUUCAGAUUUGACCAGGCUGAACGAAUUUUAGUUUCAGUAGUUUCCACAGUUUCAGCUCCAAUAUCAGUAGUUUGACAAUAAAAAAUAGAAAAAU